This 25-nucleotide non-coding RNA is filed under the name Oryctolagus cuniculus (rabbit). RNAcentral also lists the same sequence under 2 other names. The record is from RNAcentral. Lineage: Eukaryota; Metazoa; Chordata; Mammalia; Lagomorpha; Leporidae.
AGCCAAUGAGGUUUAUCCGAGGCGC